RNAcentral lists this ribosomal RNA (796 nucleotides) under uncultured bacterium. RNAcentral's name for it is "bacterial SSU rRNA". It matches the Rfam family "Bacterial small subunit ribosomal RNA", at positions 8 to 796 of the family's 1533-position model. The record is from RNAcentral.
AGAGUUUGAUCCUGGCUCAGGAUGAACGCUAGCGAUAGGCCUAACACAUGCAAGUCGAGGGGUAGCAUAGAGUAGCAAUACUUUGAUGGCGACCGGCGCACGGGUGAGUAACACGUAUGCAACCUACCUACAUCAGGGGAAUAACCCGGAGAAAUUCGGACUAAUACCGCAUAAUACAGGGAUGCCGCAUGGCAAUAUUUGUUAAAGAUUUAUCGGAUGUAGAUGGGCAUGCGUUCCAUUAGCUAGUUGGUAAGGUAACGGCUUACCAAGGCAACGAUGGAUAGGGGAACUGAGAGGUUUGUCCCCCACACUGGAACUGAGACACGGACCAGACUCCUACGGGAGGCAGCAGUGAGGAAUAUUGGUCAAUGGACGAGAGUCUGAACCAGCCAAAUCGCGUGAAGGAAGACUGCCCUACGGGUUGUAAACUUCUUUUGUACAGGAAUAAAAGACAUUACGUGUAAUGUAUUGCAUGUACUGUACGAAUAAGCAUCGGCUAACUCCGUGCCAGCAGCCGCGGUAAUACGGAGGAUGCGAGCGUUAUCCGGAUUUAUUGGGUUUAAAGGGUGCGCAGGCGGGAUUUUAAGUCAGCGGUGAAAUUUUCAGGCUCAACCUGAACACUGCCGUUGAAACUGGGAUUCUUGAGUAUGGAUGAAGUAGGCGGAAUUCGUUGUGUAGCGGUGACAUGCUUAGAUAUAACGAGGAACUCCGAUUGCGUAGGCAGCUUACUAAGCCAUAACUGACGCUCAAGCACGAAAGCGUGGGGAUCAAACAGGAUUAGAUACCCUGGUAGUCG